GCAGGCCUAACACAUGCAAGUCGAACGGUAACAGGAAACAGCUUGCUGUUUCGCUGACGAGUGGCGGACGGGUGAGUAAUGUCUGGGAAACUGCCUGAUGGAGGGGGAUAACUACUGGAAACGGUAGCUAAUACCGCAUAACGUCGCAAGACCAAAGAGGGGGACCCUCGGGCCUCUUGCCAUCGGAUGUGCCCAGAUGGGAUUAGCUUGUUGGUGGGGUAACGGCUCACCAAGGCGACGAUCCCUAGCUGGUCUGAGAGGAUGACCAGCCACACUGGAACUGAGACACGGUCCAGACUCCUACGGGAGGCAGCAGUGGGGAAUAUUGCACAAUGGGCGCAAGCCUGAUGCAGCCAUGCCGCGUGUAUGAAGAAGGCCUUCGGGUUGUAAAGUACUUUCAGCGGGGAGGAAGGGAGUAAAGUUAAUACCUUUGCUCAUUGACGUUACCCGCAGAGAGAAGCACCGGCUAACUCCGUGCCAGCACCGCGGUAAGACGGAAGGGUGCAAGCGUUAAUCGGAAUUACUGGGCGUAAAGCGCACGCAGGCGGUUUGUUAAGUCAAUGUGAAAUCCCCGGGCUCAACCUGGGAACUGCAUCUGAUACUGGCCAAGCUUGAGUCUCGUAAAGGGGGGUAAAAUUCCAGGGGAACGGUGAAAUGGCUAAAAUCUGAAGAAUACCGGGGGGCAAAGGAGCCCGCUGAACAAA
Molecule: ribosomal RNA, 704 nt
Filed under: uncultured bacterium
Lineage: Bacteria
Description: bacterial SSU rRNA
Rfam family: Bacterial small subunit ribosomal RNA
Source: RNAcentral